GGGGAUGUAGCUCAGAGGUAGAGCACGUGCUUCGCAUGUGUGUGGUCCCGGGGUUCGAUUCCCGGCAUCUCCA
This is a non-coding RNA of Mus musculus (house mouse), 73 nucleotides long. Lineage: Eukaryota; Metazoa; Chordata; Mammalia; Rodentia; Muridae. The record is from Rfam.